This 439-nucleotide ribosomal RNA is filed under the name uncultured bacterium. RNAcentral describes it as "partial 16S ribosomal RNA". It matches the Rfam family "Bacterial small subunit ribosomal RNA", at positions 339 to 795 of the family's 1533-position model. The record is from RNAcentral.
CUACGGGUCGCUCCAGUGAGGAAUAUUGCACAAUGGGGGAAACCCUGAUGCAGCAACGCCGCGUGGAGGAUGACGCAUUUCGGUGUGUAAACUCCUUUUAUCAGAGAAGAAAAUGACGGUAUCUGAUGAAUAAGCUCCGGCUAACUCCGUGCCAGCAGCCGCGGUAAUACGGAGGGAGCAAGCGUUAUUCGGAAUCACUGGGCGUAAAGGACGCGUAGGCGGGUUUUUAAGUCAGGUGUGAAAUCCUAUGGCUCAACCAUAGAACUGCACUUGAAACUGGGGACCUAGAGUAUGGAAGGGGCAGGUGGAAUUAGUGGUGUAGGGGUAAAAUCCGUAGAUAUCACUAGGAAUACCGAAAGCGAAGGCGACCUGCUGGGGCAUUACUGACGCUGAGGCGUGAAAGCGUGGGGAGCAAACAGGAUUAGAUACCCCGGUAGUC